Molecule: ribosomal RNA, 253 nt
Filed under: uncultured bacterium
Lineage: Bacteria
Description: partial 16S ribosomal RNA
Rfam family: Bacterial small subunit ribosomal RNA
Source: RNAcentral
UACAGAGGUCUCGAGCGUUAGGCGGAAUCACUGGGCUUAAAGCGUGUGUAGGUGGAUGCCUAAGUACCUUGUGAAAUCCCACAGCUUAACUGUGGAACUGCUUGGUAUACUGGGUGUCUUGAGUCACUCAGGGGCGAGCGGAACAAAUGGUGGAGCGGUGAAGUGCGUAGAUAUCAUUUGGAACGCCAAUGGUGAAAACAGCUCGCUGGGGGUGUACUGACACUGAGACACGAAAGCGUGGGGAUCAAACAGG